RNAcentral lists this ribosomal RNA (874 nucleotides) under Aspergillus niger. Its description in RNAcentral is "SSU rRNA". It matches the Rfam family "Eukaryotic small subunit ribosomal RNA", at positions 113 to 996 of the family's 1831-position model. Lineage: Eukaryota; Fungi; Ascomycota; Eurotiomycetes; Eurotiales; Aspergillaceae. The record is from RNAcentral.
UCGUUUAUUUGAUAGUACCUUACUACAUGGAUACCUGUGGUAAUUCUAGAGCUAAUACAUGCUGAAAACCUCGACUUCGGAAGGGGUGUAUUUAUUAGAUAAAAAACCAAUGCCCUUCGGGGCUCCUUGGUGAAUCAUAAUAACUUAACGAAUCGCAUGGCCUUGCGCCGGCGAUGGUUCAUUCAAAUUUCUGCCCUAUCAACUUUCGAUGGUAGGAUAGUGGCCUACCAUGGUGGCAACGGGUAACGGGGAAUUAGGGUUCGAUUCCGGAGAGGGAGCCUGAGAAACGGCUACCACAUCCAAGGAAGGCAGCAGGCGCGCAAAUUACCCAAUCCCGACACGGGGAGGUAGUGACAAUAAAUACUGAUACGGGGCUCUUUUGGGUCUCGUAAUUGGAAUGAGUACAAUCUAAAUCCCUUAACGAGGAACAAUUGGAGGGCAAGUCUGGUGCCAGCAGCCGCGGUAAUUCCAGCUCCAAUAGCGUAUAUUAAAGUUGUUGCAGUUAAAAAGCUCGUAGUUGAACCUUGGGUCUGGCUGGCCGGUCCGCCUCACCGCGAGUACUGGUCCGGCUGGACCUUUCCUUCUGGGGAAUCUCAUGGCCUUCACUGGCUGUGGGGGGAACCAGGACUUUUACUGUGAAAAAAUUAGAGUGUUCAAAGCAGGCCUUUGCUCGAAUACAUUAGCAUGGAAUAAUAGAAUAGGACGUGCGGUUCUAUUUUGUUGGUUUCUAGGACCGCCGUAAUGAUUAAUAGGGAUAGUCGGGGGCGUCAGUAUUCAGCUGUCAGAGGUGAAAUUCUUGGAUUUGCUGAAGACUAACUACUGCGAAAGCAUUCGCCAAGGAUGUUUUCAUUAAUCAGGGAACGAAAGUUAGGGG